UACGUAGGGACCAAGCGUUGUUCGGAUUUACUGGGCGUAAAGGGCGCGUAGGCGGCUUGUCAAGUCACUUGUGAAAUCUCUGGGCUUAACCCAGAACGGCCAAGUGAAACUGACAUGCUAGAGUGCAGAAGGGGCAACUGGAAUUCUCGGUGUAGCGGUGAAAUGCGUAGAUAUCGAGAGGAACACCUGCGGCGAAGGCGGGUUGCUGGGCUGACACUGACGCUGAUGCGCGAAAGCCAGGGGAGCGAACGGG
This 253-nucleotide ribosomal RNA is filed under the name uncultured bacterium. RNAcentral's name for it is "partial 16S ribosomal RNA". It matches the Rfam family "Bacterial small subunit ribosomal RNA", at positions 524 to 776 of the family's 1533-position model. The record is from RNAcentral.